GCGGCGUUGGUAUAAAAAAUUACGGCUCCGUUGAUAAUUGAGUUUUUUUAAAUUCAUCAUCGAUCAAUGCAGUGGCCACACACUAGUAUGACCGUUGCAGUAAUUACAUAAUUGUUGUCCUAUCAUCUGGAAUGCAAAAUUGCAUUGCAUCUACAAGAGAUAAGAUAGGGGUGCCCAUUAAUUAUGAUAGCAACUACGGCGCUGGGGAUUACAGAUUAAGGUCGUAUUGUAAGCCUUUCCGAAUAGAUGCCAUCGGACUGCCGAUUACUGCCAGGAAUGCAUUGAAAUGCUUGAAGGACGAGGCAAUCGUAAUGGACAAUUGUAACUUCGACCUCAUGUGCCAAGGUGGGAGACGGUAUUAGCGUUGUGAUAUCUACGGGCUCCAGUAACCAGUUAAGACCAGAUAAGCGGCGUCCUCUCCUGGACUUAGGUCUCCUCCAAGAUUCACCAUAACGACCGAUCCUACGCAGCCUGCAUCCAGCAGAUUCCGCCGACUUUUAACAGGUCUUCGGUCCACCUCAUGGUAGAACGCUCCACUUUCCGGUACCAGGGAUAUAAUAAAGUCGUUGCCAUUUUA
Long non-coding RNA from Bombyx mori (domestic silkworm), 577 nucleotides. RefSeq lists it as uncharacterized. The transcript is spliced from 4 exons. NCBI's taxonomy places the organism in Eukaryota, Metazoa, Arthropoda, Insecta, Lepidoptera, Bombycidae. The record is from RefSeq and is a predicted model, not a curated record.